Molecule: non-coding RNA, 45 nt
Organism: Schistosoma mansoni
Lineage: Eukaryota; Metazoa; Platyhelminthes; Trematoda; Strigeidida; Schistosomatidae
Source: Rfam
AUCUUUCUGAUGAGUCCCAAAUAGCACGAAACCUAGGUCCAGGGU